UUCUGGCUCAGGAUGAACGCUGGCGGCGUGCUUAACACAUGCAAGUCGAACGGAGUACAUCAACCGAGACCUUCGGGUCUCAUCUGUUGUACUUAGUGGCGGACGGGUGAGUAACGCGUGAGCAACCAACCUUAUGCAGAGGGAUAACAAUUAGAAAUGAUUGCUAAUACCGCAUAAGACCACAGCACCGCAUGAUGCAGUGGGAAAAAACUCCGGUGGCAUAAGACGGGCUCGCGUUCGAUUAGCUGGUUGGUGGGGUAACGGCUCACCAAGGCGACGAUCGAUAGCCGGACUGAGAGGUCGACCGGCCACAUUGGGACUGAGACACGGCCCAGACUCCUACGGGAGGCAGCAGUGGGGAAUAUUGCACAAUGGGGGAAACCCUGAUGCCAGCGACGCCGCGUGAGUGAUGAAGUAUUUCAGUAUGUAAAGCUCUUUUAGUAGGGAAGAAGAUGACGGUACCUACAGAAACAGCCCCGGCUAACUACGUGCCAGCCGCUGC
RNAcentral lists this ribosomal RNA (502 nucleotides) under uncultured bacterium. Its description in RNAcentral is "bacterial SSU rRNA". It matches the Rfam family "Bacterial small subunit ribosomal RNA", at positions 17 to 518 of the family's 1533-position model. The record is from RNAcentral.